RNAcentral lists this ribosomal RNA (1397 nucleotides) under uncultured bacterium. Its description in RNAcentral is "bacterial SSU rRNA". It matches the Rfam family "Bacterial small subunit ribosomal RNA". The record is from RNAcentral.
AGAGUUUGAUCCUGGCUCAGGAUGAACGCUAGCUACAGGCUUAACACAUGCAAGUCGAGGGGCAGCAUGGUCUUAGCUUGCUAAGGCCGAUGGCGACCGGCGCACGGGUGAGUAACACGUAUCCAACCUGCCUUAUACUCCCGGACAGCCUUCUGAAAGGAAGAUUAAUACGGGAUGGCAUCACGAGCCAGCAUUUUCUCGUGAUUAAAGAACUUCGGUAUAAGAUGGGGAUGCGUUCCAUUAGAUAGUAGGCGGGGUAACGGCCCACCUAGUCGACGAUGGAUAGGGGUUCUGAGAGGAAGGUCCCCCACAUUGGAACUGAGACACGGUCCAAACUCCUACGGGAGGCAGCAGUGAGGAAUAUUGGUCAAUGGGCGCGAGCCUGAACCAGCCAAGUAGCGUGAAGGAUGACUGCCCUACGGGUUGUAAACUUCUUUUAUAAAGGAAUAAAGUGAGGCACGUGUGCCUUUUUGUAUGUACUUUAUGAAUAAGGAUCGGCUAACUCCGUGCCAGCAGCCGCGGUAAUACGGAGGAUCCGAGCGUUAUCCGGAUUUAUUGGGUUUAAAGGGAGCGUAGAUGGGUUGUUAAGUCAGUUGUGAAAGUUUGCGGCUCAACCGUAAAAUUGCAGUUGAUACUGGAUAUCUUGAGUGCAGUUGAGGCAGGCGGAAUUCGUGGUGUAGCGGUGAAAUGCUUAGAUAUCACGAAGAACUCCGAUUGCGAAGGCAGCCUGCUAAGCUGCAACUGACAUUGAGGCUCGAAAGUGUGGGUAUCAAACAGGAUUAGAUACCCUGGUAGUCCACACGGUAAACGAUGAAUACUCGCUGUUUGCGAUAUACAGCAAGCGGCCAAGCGAAAGCGUUAAGUAUUCCACCUGGGGAGUACGCCGGCAACGGUGAAACUCAAAGGAAUUGACGGGGGCCCGCACAAGCGGAGGAACAUGUGGUUUAAUUCGAUGAUACGCGAGGAACCUUACCCGGGCUUAAAUUGCAGAUGAAUUACGGUGAAAGCCGUAAGCCGCAAGGCAUCUGUGAAGGUGCUGCAUGGUUGUCGUCAGCUCGUGCCGUGAGGUGUCGGCUUAAGUGCCAUAACGAGCGCAACCCUUGUUGUCAGUUACUAACAGGUCAUGCUGAGGACUCUGACAAGACUGCCAUCGUAAGAUGUGAGGAAGGUGGGGAUGACGUCAAAUCAGCACGGCCCUUACGUCCGGGGCUACACACGUGUUACAAUGGGGGGUACAGAGGGCCGCUACCACGCGAGUGGAUGCCAAUCCCCAAAACCUCUCUCAGUUCGGACUGGAGUCUGCAACCCGACUCCACGAAGCUGGAUUCGCUAGUAAUCGCGCAUCAGCCACGGCGCGGUGAAUACGUUCCCGGGCCUUGCACACACCGCCCGUCAAG